RNAcentral lists this ribosomal RNA (232 nucleotides) under uncultured bacterium. RNAcentral describes it as "partial 16S ribosomal RNA". It matches the Rfam family "Bacterial small subunit ribosomal RNA", at positions 99 to 334 of the family's 1533-position model. The record is from RNAcentral.
CGGACGGGUGAGUAAUGUCUGGGAAACUGCCUGAUGGAGGGGGAUAACUACUGGAAACGGUAGCUAAUACCGCAUAACGUCGCAAGACCAAAGAGGGGGACCUUAGGGCCUCUUGCCAUCGGAUGUGCCCAGAUGGGAUUAGCUAGUAGGUGGGGUAACGGCUCACCUAGGCGACGAUCCCCAGCUGGUCUGAGAGGAUGACCAGCCACACUGGAACUGAGACACGGUCCAG